UUUUGUUUUUCUUCUUGUUU
Molecule: small RNA, 20 nt
Filed under: Arabidopsis thaliana (thale cress)
Lineage: Eukaryota; Viridiplantae; Streptophyta; Magnoliopsida; Brassicales; Brassicaceae
Description: ATSL135810
Source: RNAcentral